RNAcentral lists this ribosomal RNA (257 nucleotides) under uncultured bacterium. Its description in RNAcentral is "partial 16S ribosomal RNA". It matches the Rfam family "Bacterial small subunit ribosomal RNA", at positions 57 to 305 of the family's 1533-position model. The record is from RNAcentral.
GCAAGUCGAACGGAUACAUAAGAGGGGUAACCCUCUUGUGUGUGAGUGGCAAACGGGUGAGUAACACGUAGGAAAUCUGCCUUCAAGCGGAGAACAACCCACCGAAAGGUGAGCUAAUGCUGCAUAAUACUAUUUGGGGUUCGCCCCGAAUAUUUAAACCCGCAAGGGACUUGAAGAUGAUCCUGCGUUCUAUCAGCUAGUUGGUGAGGUAACGGCUCACCAAGGCUACGACGGAUAGCCGGCCUGAAAGGGUGGUC